RNAcentral lists this ribosomal RNA (974 nucleotides) under metagenome. RNAcentral's name for it is "bacterial LSU rRNA". It matches the Rfam family "Bacterial large subunit ribosomal RNA", at positions 1950 to 2925 of the family's 2925-position model. The record is from RNAcentral.
CCUAAGGUAGCGAAAUUCCUUGUCAGGUAAGUUCUGACCCGCACGAAAGGUGUAACGAUUUGGGCGCUGUCUCGGCAGCAGACUCGGUGAAAUCUUAGUACCUGUGAAAAUGCAGGUUACCCGCAACUAGACGGAAAGACCCCAUGGAGCUUUACUGCAGCCUGAUAUUGAAUUCUGGUCAUACAUGUACAGGAUAGGUGGGAGACAAAGAGACGUGCACGCCAGUGUACGAGGAGUCGUCGUUGGGAUACCACUCUUGUGUGACCGGGGUUCUAACCUGGUAUCGAUAACAGGUACGGGGAGAGUGUCAGGUGGGCAGUUUGACUGGGGCGGUCGCCUCCCAAAGAGUAACGGAGGCGCCCAAAGGUACGCUCAGAUUGGAUGGAAACCAAUCGACGAGUGCAAUUGCAGAAGCGUGCUUGACUGUGAGACUUACAAGUCGAACAGGGACGAAAGUCGGGAAUAGUGAUCCGGCGGUGCCGAAUGGAAGGGCCGUCGCUCAACGGAUAAAAGCUACCCUGGGGAUAACAGGCUGAUCUCGCCCAAGAGUUCACAUCGACGGCGAGGUUUGGCACCUCGAUGUCGGCUCAUCGCAUCCUGGAGCUGGAUUCGGUUCCAAGGGUUGGGCUGUUCGCCCAUUAAAGCGGUACGCGAGCUGGGUUCAGAACGUCGUGAGACAGUUCGGUCCCUAUCUGUUGUGGGCGAAGGAGAUCUGCGGAGAGCUGUCCUCAGUACGAGAGGACCGGGAUGGACCUACCGCUGGUGCACCGGUUGUUCCGCCAGGGGCAUAGCCGGGUAGCUAAGUAGGGAAAGGAUAAGCGCUGAAAGCAUCUAAGCACGAAGCCUACUCCAAGAUGAGAUCUCCCAUUCGCAAGAAGUAAGACCCCUUAAAGACGAUAAGGUAGAUAGGCCAGGGAUGGAAGUGCAGUGAUGUACGGAGUUGACUGGUACUAAUCGGUCGAGGACUUAAUCAG